RNAcentral lists this ribosomal RNA (489 nucleotides) under Salmonella enterica subsp. enterica serovar Muenster. Its description in RNAcentral is "bacterial SSU rRNA". It matches the Rfam family "Bacterial small subunit ribosomal RNA", at positions 27 to 505 of the family's 1533-position model. Lineage: Bacteria; Pseudomonadati; Pseudomonadota; Gammaproteobacteria; Enterobacterales; Enterobacteriaceae. The record is from RNAcentral. RNAcentral also lists the same sequence under 2 other names.
GAUUGAACGCUGGCGGCAGGCCUAACACAUGCAAGUCGAACGGUAACAGGAAGCAGCUUGCUGCUUUGCUGACGAGUGGCGGACGGGUGAGUAAUGUCUGGGAAACUGCCUGAUGGAGGGGGAUAACUACUGGAAACGGUGGCUAAUACCGCAUAACGUCGCAAGACCAAAGAGGGGGACCUUCGGGCCUCUUGCCAUCAGAUGUGCCCAGAUGGGAUUAGCUUGUUGGUGAGGUAACGGCUCACCAAGGCGACGAUCCCUAGCUGGUCUGAGAGGAUGACCAGCCACACUGGAACUGAGACACGGUCCAGACUCCUACGGGAGGCAGCAGUGGGGAAUAUUGCACAAUGGGCGCAAGCCUGAUGCAGCCAUGCCGCGUGUAUGAAGAAGGCCUUCGGGUUGUAAAGUACUUUCAGCGGGGAGGAAGGUGUUGYGGUUAAUAACCGCAGCAAUUGACGUUACCCGCAGAAGAAGCACCGGCUAACUCCG